Molecule: long non-coding RNA, 261 nt
Filed under: Panax ginseng (ginseng)
Lineage: Eukaryota; Viridiplantae; Streptophyta; Magnoliopsida; Apiales; Araliaceae
Description: long non-coding RNA (PGIN_LNC014332)
Source: RNAcentral
UGGAAAAUUUUUGUUGUCGACUGACAAGCAAAUGUCAGGCCUCUGUAAUCUUUGUAUGUUAACUAUUUUUGUUGUUUAAAGCUUUGAACUUGUAGUCUGGUAUGUCCUCUUUAAUCUAGAUCAAGAAUCAUGCAUAAAUCCGUAUUAUAUUGCAAGUUAUUAACGGUCAAAUACCGUUGACCGGCAUUGACUGGAACUUUCUGGGCAGUCAAGAACUUGCCCAGAUUCGUCUGACAGGAAGUUCAAUGGCUCAGAUCCUGC